RNAcentral lists this ribosomal RNA (493 nucleotides) under Parartemia longicaudata. RNAcentral describes it as "partial 16S ribosomal RNA". It matches the Rfam family "Archaeal large subunit ribosomal RNA", at positions 1909 to 2666 of the family's 2987-position model. Lineage: Eukaryota; Metazoa; Arthropoda; Branchiopoda; Anostraca; Branchipodidae. The record is from RNAcentral.
AGCCUCUCACGUUUGGGAGGUGAUGCCUGCCCACUGAAAGUUUUAAGGGCCGUGGUAUCCUGACCAUGCAAAGGUAGCAUAAUCAUUUGCCUCUUAAUUAGGGGCUAGAAUGAACGGCUUCACGAGAGAUUCGCUGUCUCCACCGUUGAAAAGUGAAGUUAAUGUUUGAGUGAAAAAGCUCAAAUUCCCUUGGAGGACGAUAAGACCCUAUAGAUCUUUACACUUAUUCUCUCUCAAUGCGGCAGUCAUCGUGAGGGAGUCCACGGUGUUUCGUUGGGGCGACGGGGGGAGCAGAGUAAACUCCCUCUUCUCUAGACAGCAAUUUCUGACGCAUGAUCCAGGUAUGAAUUAAGAACAAGUUACCUUAGGGAUAACAGCGUAAUUCUUCUUGAGAGGCCAAAUCGACAGAAGAGUUUGCGACCUCGAUGUUGGUUCAGGGAACCUUGCUGGCGCAGCAGUAAGCAAAGGCAGUCUGUUCAACUAUUAAUCCCCU